GUUUGAUUUUACAGUUAAGUUUAUAAUGUGGUCGAUGGCUUGCAAGAAAUAGUUAGUUAUUACCUCCAUGACAUUUCUUUUCUAGAAAUUUAUUUCAAAUAUGAAGAUGAUGAUAGCGGUCCUCAGAUCAGACAAGCAAUCUUUCAGAUAAUCUUAGAAUGAUAAGUAUUGUAUAAAUGUCCAAGUUCUUCAUCUUUACAAUUGGUAAAGCAAUGGUAAUUUAACUAUCUAAAAUAUAAUAGAAAAGAAACCGAACAUGAGAGUCGAAAAGAAGUUCUUAAGCAUAAAAGCCUAGGAAAAGAACUCUGACCUGCAUUGAGAAGUUGAAAGUCAUGAACUCAGUGAUAGGCCUCAGAACACAGUAAGCUAAACCAAUGCCAAUUCCAGCAAAUCCAGCCUAUAACAUUCUUCAAUGGUUAAAGGAGUAGAAAUUUCCAGUUCAACUUAGAAAAUUAUAUAAGAUCACAAAAAGCAACCUGAGUAAUGGGUGUAUCGAGAACCCUUUCAGAGUUGUACUUCUCCAAAAUUAUAUAAGAUCACAA
This 542-nucleotide long non-coding RNA is filed under the name Olea europaea subsp. europaea. Lineage: Eukaryota; Viridiplantae; Streptophyta; Magnoliopsida; Lamiales; Oleaceae. The record is from RNAcentral.